GGUCAUGACAUUUGGCGCUGAAACGUGG
RNAcentral lists this small RNA (28 nucleotides) under Bombyx mori (domestic silkworm). RNAcentral describes it as "ovarian small RNA-17560". The record is from RNAcentral. Lineage: Eukaryota; Metazoa; Arthropoda; Insecta; Lepidoptera; Bombycidae.